UUUUUUUUUUUUUUUUUUUUUAGCAGGAUCGACCUCGACUCCUCUUUCGUUCACAAUAAGCCUCGGCAACUUACCGGACAGCACUCCAUAAGUGCACUGAUUCGAACCCAACGGUAUGAGUUAUCUCUACCUGUCAAACAACUGGAUCAAGUCCGCCGGAUGCACCUCUUCCGCUUGGGACUUUGCCAUCAUGUCAUCAACAUGGCAUUUGCUUUCAUGAUGAGUCAUAUCAUGAAACAAAGUCACCAUAGCCCUUUGAUCCGUGGCACCGACCUUCUUCUUCACUAGAGGAUAGUCUUCUCU
RNAcentral lists this long non-coding RNA (303 nucleotides) under Lathyrus oleraceus (garden pea). Its description in RNAcentral is "Pisum sativum (pea) long non-coding RNA (PSAT_LNC021511)". The record is from RNAcentral. Lineage: Eukaryota; Viridiplantae; Streptophyta; Magnoliopsida; Fabales; Fabaceae.